CGCGUAGGCGGACCGGCGGGUCCGGCGUGAAAUCUCCACCGCUCAACGGGGAGAAGCCGCUGGAAACUACCGGUCUGGAGUUUGGCAGAGGGUCAUGGAAUUCCAGGUGUAGCGGUGGAAUGCGUAGAUAUCUGGAAGAACACCUGUGGCGAAGGCGGUGGCCUGGGCCAAAACUGACGCUGAGGCGCGAAAGCCAGGGGAGCAAACG
This 208-nucleotide ribosomal RNA is filed under the name uncultured bacterium. RNAcentral's name for it is "partial 16S ribosomal RNA". It matches the Rfam family "Bacterial small subunit ribosomal RNA", at positions 568 to 774 of the family's 1533-position model. The record is from RNAcentral.